RNAcentral lists this ribosomal RNA (448 nucleotides) under uncultured bacterium. RNAcentral's name for it is "partial 16S ribosomal RNA". It matches the Rfam family "Bacterial small subunit ribosomal RNA", at positions 29 to 523 of the family's 1533-position model. The record is from RNAcentral.
AACGAACGCUGGCGGCAUGCCUAACACAUGCAAGUCGAACGAGACCUUCGGGCCUAGUGGCGCACGGGUGCGUAACGCGUGGGAAUCUGCCCUUGGGUUCGGGAUAACAGUUGGAAACGACUGCUAAUACCGAAUGAUGACUUCGGUCCAAAGAUUUAUCGCCCAGGGAUGAGCCCGCGUCGGAUUAGCUUGUUGGUGAGGUAAAGGCUCACCAAGGCGACGAUCCGUAGCUGGUCUGAGAGGAUGAUCAGCCACACUGGGACUGAGACACGGCCCAGACUCCUACGGGAGGCAGCAGUGGGGAAUAUUGGACAAUGGGCGAAAGCCUGAUCCAGCAAUGCCGCGUGAGUGGUGAAGGCCUUAGGGUUGUAAAGCUCUUUACCCGGGAAGAUAAUGACUGUACCGGGAGAAUAAGCCCCGGCUAACUCCGUGCCAGCCGCCGCGGUAA